GGGUGCGAUCAUAUCAGCACUAAUGCACCGGAUCCGAUCAAAACGCCGUAGUUAAGCGUGCUAAGGCGAGAGUAGUCCUAGGAUGUGUGACCUCCUGCGAAGUCCUCGUCUUGCACCCC
This is a non-coding RNA of Gossypium raimondii (Peruvian cotton), 119 nucleotides long. The record is from Rfam. NCBI's taxonomy places the organism in Eukaryota, Viridiplantae, Streptophyta, Magnoliopsida, Malvales, Malvaceae.